Coffea arabica (coffee) is the source of this 1079-nucleotide long non-coding RNA. RefSeq lists it as uncharacterized. Lineage: Eukaryota; Viridiplantae; Streptophyta; Magnoliopsida; Gentianales; Rubiaceae. The record is from RefSeq and is a predicted model, not a curated record.
UUUAGUCUUAUCUUUUGAGCUUCCGUACAUUCGCUCCCUCAUUUUUUUCCUCUCAUCUGUCUCUCCUCUUCGGAAACUGGUGCUCCAUUACAAAACCUCAAAUCAGCUGAAAUACAAGCCGAAAAGAAGAUAAGCCUAAAUCCAUGGAAGCUCAUAACAGUAACAACGAUUUCACAGUAGGAUGCAUACUCUCCAUCAAGACCCCUCUUGGAGAAGAAUUUCAAGGCCAAGUCUUGACCUCUGACCGCUCAUCCAACAUACUUGUUCUUAAUAUCCUUCUCCUCCUGUUUUAUCAAGAUUUUCCCUUAAAAAGUUUCAUUUUUUCUUUUCAGUAUUUUCGCAUGCAUUUACAGUAUUUAUUAUGAAUUGGUAAUUUUUCUUGUGGGUUUUGAAAUUCUUUAACUUUGGAUUUGAAAAAUACAAGAAGGAAUAAAUUCGGGGUCACGGCCAAACAGGAAUAUUAGGCUAUUGAAAGCCAAUUACAUCAAGGAGUUUACUUUUUUGGGUCAAGGCAAGUUGAGUUGGAGGCUGAAAGAUUUAGGAUUGCUGUUACAGCUGAAGCUCAGAGCAUUUUUUAUGCUCUGUCCAAAACGGACUAGACCAUCAUGGGUGGGGCUUGAGGCAGCUGCUUGGUUGCAAAUAGCAUCCGGGAAUGCAUCCACUUUUCCUCUCUACUCCCACUCACUCAAAUCAGUUCUGGGAUUUAACCAGCAUGCUUGGGGUGGCUAAUGAUAUUGGGGAAAACAUGGGUUUGCUUCCAGGCCAUGUUUACAAGAAGUUUCCACCUUUGGUCAUUCUCCCUAUUGGCGCUUUUGCAUGUUUCUUCGGUUUUGGGGUUCUCUGGCUUGCUCUGUCCAGGACUAUUCCUUCGUUUCCUCAUUGACUGGUAACAUUCGUUUCCUGGUUUUUCUUGGGAAAAAAUUGCUCAUCUUAAUUUGAUUGCCUCCUUUUUAUUUGGAUAACUCUUUCCCUGUAAAGAUAUAGUCUUUAUUUUGAAUGGUUGUGGUAUAAUUUUGCUGACAUAUCCAUCAUGUAUGCCUUAUCAUGGACUACCUUCACAGUUUUGAUCUUUGAUGAUA